UAGGGAAUCUUCGGCAAUGGGGGGAACCCUGACCGACCAACGCCGCGUGAGGGAAGAAGGUUUUCGGAUCGUAAAGCUCUGUUGUUAAGGAAGAAAGAGUGUGAGAAUGGAAAGUUAAUGCCGUGACGGUACUUAACCAGAAAGGGACGCCAAACUACGUGCCAGAAGCCUCGGUAAUACGAAGGUGGCAAGCGUUGUCCGAAUUUAUUGGGCGUAAAGCGAGCGCAGGCGGUCAAUUAAGCCUGGUGUGAAAGCCCCCGGCUCAACCGGGGAGGGUCAUUGGAAACUGGUUGACUUGAGUGCAGAAGAGGAGAGUGGAAUUCCGUGUGUAGCGGUGAAAUGCAUAGAUAUAUGGAGGAACACCAGUGGCGAAGGCGACUCUCUGGUCUGUAACUGACGCUGAGGCUCGAAAGCGUGGGUAGCAAACAGG
RNAcentral lists this ribosomal RNA (430 nucleotides) under Bacteroidota bacterium. Its description in RNAcentral is "Bacteroidetes bacterium partial 16S ribosomal RNA". It matches the Rfam family "Bacterial small subunit ribosomal RNA", at positions 355 to 776 of the family's 1533-position model. Lineage: Bacteria; Pseudomonadati; Bacteroidota. The record is from RNAcentral.